Molecule: ribosomal RNA, 854 nt
Filed under: uncultured bacterium
Lineage: Bacteria
Description: bacterial SSU rRNA
Rfam family: Bacterial small subunit ribosomal RNA
Source: RNAcentral
CCCCCAUCCUCGGGCUUACAGGUUUCUGGGGAGGAAAAAACAGCCCGCUGAUUCGCUGACUUGUGGCGGACGGGUGUUUUAUGUGUGGAAAACUGCCUGAUGGAGGGGGAUAACUACUGGAAACGGUAGCUAAUACCGCAUAACGUCGCAAGACCAAAGAGGGGGACCUUAGGGCCUCUUGCCAUCGGAUGUGCCCAGAUGGGAUUAGCUAGUAGGUGGGGUAACGGCUCACCUAGGCGACGAUCCCUAGCUGGUCUGAGAGGAUGACCAGCCACACUGGAACUGAGACACGGUCCAGACUCCUACGGGAGGCAGCAGUGGGGAAUAUUGCACAAUGGGCGCAAGCCUGAUGCAGCCAUGCCGCGUGUAUGAAGAAGGCCUUCGGGUUGUAAAGUACUUUCAGCGGGGAGGAAGGGAGUAAAGUUAAUACCUUUGCUCAUUGACGUUACCCGCAGAAGAAGCACCGGCUAACUCCGUGCCAGCAGCCGCGGUAAUACGGAGGGUGCAAGCGUUAAUCGGAAUUACUGGGCGUAAAGCGCACGCAGGCGGUUUGUUAAGUCAGAUGUGAAAUCCCCGGGCUCAACCUGGGAACUGCAUCUGAUACUGGCAAGCUUGAGUCUCGUAGAGGGGGGUAGAAUUCCAGGUGUAGCGGUGAAAUGCGUAGAGAUCUGGAGGAAUACCGGUGGCGAAGGCGGCCCCCUGGACGAAGACUGACGCUCAGGUGCGAAAGCGUGGGGGAGCAAACAGGAUUAGAUACCCUGGUAGUCCACGCCGUAAACGAUGUCGACUUGGAGGUUGUGCCCUUGAGGCGUGGCUUCCGGGAGCUAACGCGUUAAGUCGACCGCCUGGGGAGU